This is a long non-coding RNA of Zalophus californianus (California sea lion), 819 nucleotides long. RefSeq lists it as uncharacterized. The record is from RefSeq and is a predicted model, not a curated record. Lineage: Eukaryota; Metazoa; Chordata; Mammalia; Carnivora; Otariidae. The transcript has 3 exons.
CCGGCCUGGUGGGUGGCUGCUGGGGUAAAGGCCCGGGGGCUGGCCCAGCUCCCCAGGGUACUCGUGCACACUGGCGUGCUCCCCGGUGGCCCGUUCCAGCGACUGGUCCCCGGAAGCAAGUUCGAGCCCUGGUCAGGAGGGGCAAUGGGUGGGACACCUACAUGGCGUGUUCCUGCUGCUGGGGCACCGACCUGGCCGGCUGAGAAGUCUCCAGCCCACCCCAGAAGCUGAGAUUUCUCCUGAGUGAGGCUUCAUUCUCCAGGCCAGCAUCCCCACGGGAACGGCAGCAGCCAUCUCUGAUGGGACACUUGCUACGAACAGGCACUGGUCUGUGCUUUCCACAUGAUCAGUUCAUUUAGUCCUGACAAUAAUCUCAUGAGGUAGCCACUAUUAUUAUUCUCAUCUCCACAGCAAUCAUGAUAACGGUAAUAACAGCUAACCAGAAAGCCACGACCUUAACGAAAUGAUCAAAGUUAAUGUCACCAAUGACACAGCAGACACCUCGUGCUUCUUGAUGCAACAUGCUCAGAAAGACACAUCGCACCAAAAUGCAAAACCGAAGCCUCAUCACAAGGAAACAUCAAGCAAACCCACACUGACGAACAGUCUACAAAGUAGGUGGUCUGUACUCUUCAAAAACGUCAGCAUCAUAAAAAUCCAAGAAAGGCUGGGGAACUGUUCCAGUUUAAGAAUGUGAAAGAGAGGGGUGCCUGGGGGGCUCAGUCGGUUAAGCGUCUGCCUUUGGCUCAGGUCAUGAUCCCAGGGUCCUGGGAUUGAGCCCCGAGUUGGGCUCUCAGCUCAGUGGGGAGUUUGCUUCUU